UACAGAGGUCUCAAGCGUUGUUCGGAAUCACUGGGCGUAAAGGGUGCGUAGGUGGCGUGGUAAGUCAGAUGUGAAAGCCCGGGGCUCACCCUCGGAACUGCAUCCGAUACUGCCAUGCUUGAGAACUGGAGAGGAGUCUAGAAUUCACGGUGUAGCAGUGAAAUGCGUAGAUAUCGUGAGGAAUACCAAAGGCGAAGGCCGGACUCUGGACAGUUUCUGACACUGAGGCACGAAGGCUAGGGUAGCGAACGGG
This 253-nucleotide ribosomal RNA is filed under the name uncultured bacterium. Its description in RNAcentral is "partial 16S ribosomal RNA". It matches the Rfam family "Bacterial small subunit ribosomal RNA", at positions 524 to 776 of the family's 1533-position model. The record is from RNAcentral.